RNAcentral lists this ribosomal RNA (1352 nucleotides) under uncultured bacterium. Its description in RNAcentral is "bacterial SSU rRNA". It matches the Rfam family "Bacterial small subunit ribosomal RNA", at positions 28 to 1381 of the family's 1533-position model. The record is from RNAcentral.
AUUGACCUCUGGCGGCAUGCCUUACACAUGCAAGUCGAACGGUAACGGGUCCUUCGGGAUGCCGACGAGUGGCGAACGGGUGAGUAAUAUAUCGGAACGUGCCCAGUAGUGGGGGAUAACUGCUCGAAAGAGCAGCUAAUACCGCCUACGACCUGAGGGUGAAAGGGGGGGAUCGCAAGACCUCUCGCUAUUGGAGCGGCCGAUAUCAGAUUAGCUAGUUGGUGGGGUAAAGGCCUACCAAGGCAACGAUCUGUAGUUGGUCUGAGAGGACGACCAGCCACACUGGGACUGAGACACGGCCCAGACUCCUACGGGAGGCAGCAGUGGGGAAUUUUGGACAAUGGGCGCAAGCCUGAUCCAGCAAUGCCGCGUGCAGGAAGAAGGCCUUCGGGUUGUAAACUGCUUUUGUCAGGGAAGAAAUCUUCUGGGCUAAUACCCCGGGAGGAUGACGGUACCUGAAGAAUAAGCACCGGCUAACUACGUGCCAGCAGCCGCGGUAAUACGUAGGGUGCGAGCGUUAAUCGGAAUUACUGGGCGUAAAGCGUGCGCAGGCGGCUUUGCAAGACAGAUGUGAAAUCCCCGGGCUCAACCUGGGAACUGCAUUUGUGACUGCAAGGCUAGAGUACGGCAGAGGGGGAUGGAAUUCCGCGUGUAGCAGUGAAAUGCGUAGAUAUGCGGAGGAACACCAAUGGCGAAGGCAAUCCCCUGGGCCUGUACUGACGCUCAUGCACGAAAGCGUGGGGAGCAAACAGGAUUAGAUACCCUGGUAGUCCACGCCCUAAACGAUGUCAACUGGUUGUUGGACGGCUUGCUGUUCAGUAACGAAGCUAACGCGUGAAGUUGACCGCCUGGGGAGUACGGCCGCAAGGUCGAAACUCAAAGGAAUUGACGGGGACCCGCACAAGCGGUGGAUGAUGUGGUUUAAUUCGAUGCAACGCGAAAAACCUUACCUACCCUUGACAUGUCAAGAAUUCUGCAGAGAUGUGGAAGUGCUCGAAAGAGAACUUGAACACAGGUGCUGCAUGGCCGUCGUCAGCUCGUGUCGUGAGAUGUUGGGUUAAGUCCCGCAACGAGCGCAACCCUUGUCAUUAGUUGCUACGCAAGAGCACUCUAAUGAGACUGCCGGUGACAAACCGGAGGAAGGUGGGGAUGACGUCAGGUCCUCAUGGCCCUUAUGGGUAGGGCUACACACGUCAUACAAUGGCCGGUACAGAGGGCUGCCAACCCGCGAGGGGGAGCCAAUCCCAGAAAACCGGUCGUAGUCCGGAUCGUAGUCUGCGACUCGACUGCGUGAAGUCGGAAUCGCUAGUAAUCGCGGAUCAGCUUGCCGCGGUGAAUACGUUCCCGGGUCU